This 202-nucleotide non-coding RNA is filed under the name Clostridia bacterium. RNAcentral describes it as "6S RNA". It matches the Rfam family "6S / SsrS RNA". From Rfam's summary of the family: E. coli 6S RNA was the first non coding RNA to be sequenced, but its function was unknown until recently. It consists of 184 nucleotides that fold into an extended hairpin structure with a large single-stranded internal bulge. Lineage: Bacteria; Bacillati; Bacillota; Clostridia. The record is from RNAcentral.
AUCUACCUGCUGUGUACGAGUCGGAGUUUUCUUGGAUCCACAUUAUAUAAUUAGGGAAUUUUUGUUCGUUUGUGAAAGCGUAUUUUGAGGGCGUUGUCAUGUGCAGUCCAUUAUAUUCAAAAAGUCGGAAGCAAAGACGGGAUACCCACCUGCUUUAAAGCGGGUCAUUAAUGCUCAAUGUUACGGCACAAGUGGGUAUAAA